This is a long non-coding RNA of Syngnathoides biaculeatus (alligator pipefish), 686 nucleotides long. RefSeq lists it as uncharacterized. The transcript is spliced from 3 exons. The record is from RefSeq and is a predicted model, not a curated record. NCBI's taxonomy places the organism in Eukaryota, Metazoa, Chordata, Actinopteri, Syngnathiformes, Syngnathidae.
UGUGAGCAUAGGAGGGCAUAGCCGUUUCACUCUGACUGUGCUGUGCCUGGCUCAUUACUUCCUCUGUUACCUCCCAUAGACCCAUCGAGCCAUCUCGGGAACCUUGAAGUUGGAAUAUUAACAAAACAUGUAAGCGAAAGCAGCCACCAAAGCAUCGUUCCGGGUUCGUCACAUCAUCGUUAAGAACAAGAAGUCCUUCCAAGACGGAGAGAUGCUGUAAAGGAGUACAGUGACACGCCAUUGUGAAGCCAUGGCUGAUGUGUGGAAGGGCAUCGGAAAUUGAAUGUUUCUCACUGCAGUUGGACGAAUCCACUGACGUGAGUGACACAGCCCAGGUGUACAUUUACGUUCAUAUGAUGUUUAGUGAUCAUCAACGUGAACUGAGAUAGUUACAAAAAAUGUUUAUGGUUCACUAUGUUGUGUUGUUCAAUAUUGACUCAUGCUUAUGCAAGGCACACAAACAUACAUUUGCACAUAAAGAAUCCUCCGUAUACUGUACUUUAAAAUAAAUAUGUUUUGCAUUUUUGUAGUGGGUAGAUGUUUGUGGCUUUGUCAUUCUAUUUCAUUAUUGGUCAUUCUCAAAAAAAAUAAAAGACGUUAACCCCCCCACCCCCUUCAACCUACCCCCCACCUCGCUUGAUCGUGAGAGGCUGGCUGCUUGAAAAGUAGAUCUUUUGGUAAAAAAA